AGAGUUUGAUCCUGGCUCAGGAUAAACGCUAGCGGCAGGCCUAACACAUGCAAGUCGAGGGGUAACAGGAGAGCUUGCUCUCGCUGACGACCGGCGCACGGGUGAGUAACGCGUAUGCAACCUACCCUUUACAGGAGGAUAGCCCGGUGAAAACCGGAUUAAUACUCCAUAGUCUUAUAGAUUGGCAUCAUGAAAUAAGUAAAUCUUCGGAGGUAAAGGAUGGGCAUGCGUGACAUUAGAUAGUUGGUGAGGUAAUAGCUCACCAAGUCUACGAUGUCUAUGGGGUCUUAAAGGAUGGUCCCACACACUGGUACUGAGACACGGACCAGACUCCUACGGGAGGCAGCAGUGAGGAAUAUUGGUCAAUGGGCAAAGCCUGAACCAGCCAUGCCGCGUGCAGGAUUACGGCUCUAGUAGUUGUAAACUGCUUUUAUACGGGAAGAAUGCUCGUGAUUUCACGGGAGAGACUGUACCGUACGAAUAAGGAUCGGCUAACUCCGUGCCAGCAGCCGCGGUAAUACGGAGGAUCCAAGCGUUAUCCGGAUUUAUUAGGUUUAAAGGGUACGCAGGCGGGAAUUUAAGUCAGUGGUGAAAUCUUGCAGCUUAACUGUAAAAUAGCCAUUGAUACUGGAUUUCUUGAGUAUAGACGAAGUGGGCGGAAUAUAACAUGUAGCGGUGAAAUGCUUAGAUAUGUUAUAGAACACCAAUUGCGAAGGCAGCUCACUAGACUAUUACUGACGCUGAUGUACGAAAGCGUGGGUAGCGAACAGGAUUAGAUACCCUGGUAGUCCACGCCGUAAACGAUGAUUACUGGUUGUAUGCGAUACAUUGUAUGCGACUUUAGCGAAAGCAUUAAGUAAUCCACCUGGGGAGUACGUUCGCAAGAAUGAAACUCAAAGGAAUUGACGGGGGCCCGCACAAGCGGAGGAACAUGUGGUUUAAUUCGAUGAUACGCGAGGAACCUUACCUGGGCUCAAACGCAAGCGCCGGAUUGGGAGACCAAUCUUUCUGGCAACAGACGCGAAGCGAGGUGCUGCAUGGCUGUCGUCAGCUCGUGCCGUGAGGUGUCGGGUUAAGUCCCAUAACGAGCGCAACCCCUAUCAUUAGUUACCAGCGAGUAGAGUCGGGGACUCUAAUGAGACUGCCACCGUAAGGUGAGAGGAAGGCGGGGAUGACGUCAAGUCAGCACGGCCCUUACGUCCAGGGCUACACACGUGUUACAAUGGCCGGUACAAAGGGCAGCUACACAGCGAUGUGAUGCUAAUCUCUAAAGCCGGUCUCAGUUCGGAUCGGAGUCUGUAACUCGACUCCGUGAAGUUGGAUUCGCUAGUAAUCGUGUAUCAGCAACGACACGGUGAAUACGUUCCCGGGCCUUGUACACACCGCCCGUCAAGCCAUGGAAGCCGGGGGUACCUGAAGUCUGUCACCUUAGGGAGCGGCCUAGGGUAAAACUGGUAACUGGGGCUAAGUCGG
This 1473-nucleotide ribosomal RNA is filed under the name metagenome. RNAcentral describes it as "bacterial SSU rRNA". It matches the Rfam family "Bacterial small subunit ribosomal RNA". The record is from RNAcentral.